Molecule: long non-coding RNA, 42845 nt
Filed under: Medicago truncatula (barrel medic)
Lineage: Eukaryota; Viridiplantae; Streptophyta; Magnoliopsida; Fabales; Fabaceae
Description: long non-coding RNA (MTRU_LNC003856)
Rfam family: MIR2655 microRNA precursor family (bases 3229-3506)
Source: RNAcentral
CACAAGCAUCUGAUCAAAAUAAGCAUAUAGGUUGCAAAAAUAGAACUCUUCAUUUUUCCUAGUGGUGGAAAUAUGGUGGAGUAUUGGGCAAUAUGACUUGAAGUAGGGUGAAAAUAGAUUGAACUGAGUUCUUAUUUGUAAAACCCAAGCUAGAUUUGGUUAAAAAAAGUUAAAGUUUAAGAGCAUGUUUGGUAUUGGGUUUGUAAAACGGAGUUUAAUGAAAAUCACGACAAAAAUCACGCUAGCGUAGAAGUUAGUAUUUGAAACUUCUGGAAAUCAUGGUAAAAAUAUAUUGGGAAACAUGCAAAUUUGGUUUUGUGUGUUGCAAACGGGAAAUCAAACACACGCUAAGUCUUUGUUUGGUCGUGUAUUUGUCGCCUCGACCGUGUUAGUAGCUUAAGAGGAUUUGUUUUGCCACCUAAAAAUGGUUAGCGACGUAAAUUUGUUACCCACCGGCCUUCUAUUCUUUUAUAAUUUUCUACAUAAUUUUUAUACAAUCAAUAUUAGUAGCUUUUGGUUCCCCUAAAAAAAUAUUGGUAGUUUUUGGAAGAAAAAAAAUUGUACAUUUGAUGCCAUCUACCACAUAACAAACAAGUAGUAAGUCUAGUCUAUUAUCACUCAUAAACUUAUUUUAAACAUGAAUUUGAUUUUUUUGAAAGUUUGGUAUGAUAUAUUAGCAUAUUUACAUAUUUAAUUAAUACGAUCUAUAUUUAAAUAGACUAAUCUGUCAAUAAAUGAAUAAAAUCAUGUUUUAUUUUAAUAUUUAACGUGGUAUUUUAAGGUGUAUUUGGUUGAAGAUUUUUAUAGAGGAGAUAAUAUUUUAAAUGAAGUUGUUUGAUUCGAUUCUUUAGGAGGAGGGGAGGGGAAAUAAAGUAAUUAGAGUUUGUUUGGUUCAAUCAACUAUAUCUUAUCAUUUGUAAACUAUAAACAAACUUAUAGAUUAUUCCUUAUAAGUAUACCAGCUAUAAACUAACUUAUAAUUCUUCAGAUAUUUUUUAUCUAAUUAACAAAUGCUAAAUUAGAGAGAUUAAUACGUGUAGGACACACCAUUUUAUAUUCUAUGUUUCUUACUUUUUUUUCAAAUUAUUUGGCGGAAAUAUGUCACUUCUUUUCUCUAUCUCUAUCUCUCAUCUCCAACCCUUUGUUUCUUAUUUCAUUUAAGCAAAUCAAAUCAUACAUUCUCUCAUAGAAAUAUCCAUUUGAGCACAAUCAUAUACUAUAUUAAUACUCCUAUAGUUGAAUUCAUAAGCUGCGGAAUGUUUUGGCAAAAAAGAGUAUAUAUAUCCAUUAAAUUAGCUACAAAUACUUGCCAUCUUCAAUUUGGUGCUAAUUUGACUUACUUCCAUAAUUUUUUUUCCCUAACAAGUAAUUUAGACUUGUAAUAAUAAUGAUUGGACAUUAUUUGUCAGUGGUACAAAUACUUGCCAUCUUCAAUUUUUACUGUCCCAUUUCACUGUACAGUAACCCUAAAUUUGCUUUCCAUGGCACGCGUCUGAUGCACAGUCAACAAGGCAAAUCAAACGGUCCCUAUCUAUUUCAGCUGUUAAAGGUCGACACGUGUCCUCCAAAUAAGUACAAAGAUUUCAAUCAAUCCGUCACCUGGUACUGUGCAAAGAUAGCCUGUCAUAAAUUGACACGUAACUGUGAGUCUGUGACAUAAAAUUAUUAGGAGAAUUCAUUUAUUUAUACGAAAAAUAUGUAAAUAACACUUUGGAAAAUGGUGUGUAAUGGUGAUGGAUUAUGUAAUGUACUCCAGGUGAACAGUAGUAUAUUGCUUGCGUAGUAAAUAUUGUCAUUUUUUAUUUAAAUAAAUAUAGACAUAAUUUAGUAAAACAACUAUGCCCUAGAGUCCUCAAGACCAUAUUAAUUUGAUAAUGACAUUACAAUAUUUUCCUCUUAAUUAAUGAAAUGAGCAGUGCUAGACGGUGCGAAUUGUUUUUCGCGUAAAAGGCACGACCGUGUAAUUGAUUAUUGAAUGCAUAAUCCAACCAACACGUGUGUGUUAAAGCAUUCUUGAUUAAAAAAUUAUAUUCAAAACCGUCAAAAAAAAUUUCACGCUUGUUGCAUCUUAUCUUUUGCUUGACAGCAUAUUCAAAGUAAAACCAAACUCCAAUUACAAUCCUUAAACCAUAAGAACAAUUCUUAUCUCUUGCUUGAUUACAUAAACAAAGUACAAAGUCAUAACUUUUGCCAAUGUAUAAACAGACUUGAGCACAUUAUAGAUAAAUUCAUGGGUUAAAUAUGUUUUUAGUCCUUAUAAAAUUACAAAUUUUCAAGUUUAGUCUCUAUAAAACAUUUAUUCACUCUUAGUCCCUACUUACAUCUUAUAGACACUAUUUUGGAGGACUAAAAUUAUAAUUUUUUUGUCAAAAGUUUUUAAAAUAGGGACUAUUACUUCAAUAUUAUAGAAGACUAAAUAAAAUUAUAUAGGAACUAAGUUGAAAACUCUUAAUUUUAUUAGGAUUAAAAAAUAUUUAACACUAAAUUUAUUGAUAUUUCUCAAUGCCAAAAUAUAGUUCAGUAUAGUUAAAGUAAUCAAAGAGCUGCACCAUAAAAUUAAAAAAAAUAGUCAAAGGCUUGUUUAGUGUGAAUCAUAGUUAUUUGACUAGUUCGUGUGAUUCCCGCGAAUUAAUUGUCGUACCAAACAGCAUUUUGCUAAUGAAAUUCUAGUUGUUAAUUAAGCUAUUUGACAAAAAAAAAAAUAUGACAAUAAUCAAGCAUUAUCGUACUAAAUAGAGUCGGUUAUAUAAAUCAAAUGAUACCACAAUGUUCUAUAAAAAAACUAGGUAUUUCUCAAACUCAUUAAUCUGUUUACCAUUCUUAAUAAAAAAAAAUUUGUUUUUUCUAGAUCUUAUUCUAGUGAUUUGAUUCCCCUCUACAUUUUCUAGAAACUAUUGACAAAAAAAAAAAAAGCGAUGCCCUAAUACAUAUAUUUUAUUAAAAAUUAUUACGACAUACCUGUUUAUUUCUUAAACAAAAACAAGUCCUACUUUUUCAAGAAACCCUUUGGAAAAUGAUGUGCAUUUGACUAAUGGUGAUAGUAUUACUAUGAUUUCUAUCAACAGUUAAACCUCCUUUAUAUUUCAAAAAACAAGAAGGCUUUGUUUAUUAAAAAAAAAAAAAAAAAAGACAUGCAGUUUAAAAUAAUAACAAAAAUCUACGUGAUAAUUUAUUUUUGGCUUAAUUACUCUUUUGGUCCCUUAACUUAUUUUUUGGUUUCGUUUUGGUCCCUUAAUUAUUAAAAGUUUCGUUUUGGUCUCAUAACUUACUUUUUGGUUUCGUUUUGGUCCCUUAACUCUUCCUCCGUCAACCACUUUGGUCCUUUAUGUUAGGAUGAAUGUAUUAGAGUUAAGGGACCAAAAUGAAACCAAAAAAUAAGUUAAGGGACCAAACGAAACCAAAAAAUAAGUUAAGAGGCCAAAACGAAACUUUUAAUAGUUAAGGGACCAAAAGAAAACCCAAAAAUAAGUUAUUGGACCGAAACGAAACUUUUAAUAGUUAAGGAACCAAAACGAAACCAAAAAAUAAGUUAAGGGACCAAAAGAGUAAUUAAGCCUUUAUUUUUUUAUUCAUUGUUUGAACUUAAUGUUUUUCUAUAAGAAUCCUUUGAUGUAAGAAUUGAUGUGAUUCUUAAGAUGGCUAUGAGAUUGAUAACUCUCAACGAACACAUGUAACUUGAGGCCUAUUUCAUUGGUUGGAAGAGACUUUGAGAGGGUUGGGUUAAACUCAACUAUGACAACACACAUAAAAACCCAAUUAAUAUUUCGGGAUGUGGCGACCUUCUCCGUGAUAACAGUGGAAAUUGUUUGAAUAGUUAUGCCUGUGAGAUAGACUCAUGCGACACGCUACAUGCAGAGAUAUGGAGAACUACUCAAAAGUUUUAGUUGACAUGGUAACAAGGAAAUGUAACAUCAAUGAGAAUGUUUAUACGUUGAUUUGGCGCAUUCGUGACCUAAAUAUUUUAAAAUCAUAUUUAGAGAUUAGUGUUAUUUAUUUUUUUUAAAAAUGGUUAAGUAAUAUACUUAUGGGAACUUAUUUAAUCUUUAUUCUUAAUUUUGUUCAUUGUUGACCGCUUUUAAUCGAUUUAUGAUUAACGUUGAAAUUCAGCUUUGUGAAUGUUUAGCUUAAAUAUUCACGACUUUAUAGUCAAGAGAUUGAUGCGUGCUCAUGCAUGAGAUUUGGGAUUAUCUUAAGACAAUAACUAAGAGAUUAGGAUUAGACACUAUAUAAAAUUUAUGACAAUGCAAUGAAUCCUUUAAGAUAAUUGAGAUCAACCAUAAACAAAGGUUCUCGUCCAAAUAAGCUAAUUCCUAACAAUUGGAAAACAAGAAUUACACGUAAAAUUGAAGUCAAAUAAUGCUCAACGCUAGUUGUAUCACCAAUCUUGAACUCUUAUGCUCUUCCAGUUUUUAACUUAAAUAGGGCAAAAUUUUCUCACAUGAAUCAAUAAACACUUAAGUCAAGUUGAAAUUUAUAUUGAUGAUCAAAGAUAAGGUAUAAACUUUAGUGAGAUAAUUUCAUUCCUUUUAAUAUUAUUCAUACUCCCUUCGUUCUAAAAUGAAUAUCGUUUUCAGUUUUCCAUGUAAUUUUAGUUAUUAUGUUUUUUCUAAUAUUAUAUUUAAUUAACAUAUUCCACUUUGGAUUUAUAAUAUUCGAUCACUUCAACUUACAAGAAAACAAAACACCAUCACUUUAUAGUAUUUCAAUUUGGUAAAAUUACUUACUUUUUUAUUAUUCGUUAUACGAAAUGGUAAUCAACAUCUCAAACAGUCAAAUUCACAUACAUAAUUGUAACGUUUCAGAUUUGAACUCGGAUAAAUGUGUCUAAUCUAUCAAUAUUUGUAUUUGUUAGUUGAGAUAACCCUUACAAACUUUUAUUUCUUUAUUUUAUUUAUAGUAUCUUCAUAUAAAUAUGUGUGAAACAAACAAAUGUAUGUAGGACAUAUAAGCUAUAGAGUGCUAUUUUACAAAUAUAGUGAGUAAAAAAAAUACAUAAACUAAUUUUUUUUUGCAAAUGUAUCAACAAUUGUUGCAAGUGAAUUUACACAAAAAAUUACAGAAAACAAUAGUUAACCACAAGUAACAAAUUAUUCUCUAAUUAGUAACUAAUCACAUCUCCAAACAGUUGUUAGCAUAAAAUAAGUAAAACUACUGACUUUUCUGAUGUGGUGUAUUUUAUAUAUAUUUUGAAACAAUUCUAAUAGAAGGAGUAAUUUUCUUUUUGAAAUGAAGAAAUUUCUUUUAAAACUUAUGAACGUGUAAAACGAGGAAAGCAAGUACUACUUGUCAAAAAAGGCACUUGCUAUACUAGUAUAUUUCAAAAUGAUAACUAAAACUAAAAAAAAAAAAAAAAAAAAGACAUCCAAACAUAGUUGGACUCAUUUUAGGCCACAAAAAUGCUACUACACAUAUUUAAAGAAAUGAAUUUUGAUUGGUCAUUGGUGGAUCUUAGUGUGAUAAAAUAAAUUCACCUUUAAUUUCCUUUUUCCUUGUUUGGAAUGUAGGACCCUACCUAUGAUCUAACACAACUUUCCUUCUUUUGCAUAGAAAAAUACAAGUGGUUGAAAUUGACCCUAGCUAUGUACAAUUAAAUUUUCUUGUUUGAGCUUUGGUAUUUUUGAUAACUAAUUAACCUUAGUCAUCUAUCAUUUAUGGGUUCUGAUCAAAUCCAACCUCAUUGAUAUUUCUUCAUAUAUCCAAGGUUUGAUUUUUGGUAUGUACAAGUUUGGCUAAAAGAAAAAUGACAAAGAGUAGGUUUGCAUCUCCCAAAAUAACUAAGAAAUAAAGUAUAGAAUGUGAGGUUGGUCUCAUUUACACAAAAAUGUGGCAUUGAAGAAAAUUAUGUGGUUACUUAACAUUGUCGACACCCAUAUUUGGUAUUUGUGGUUUCAAACAUUAGCCUAAUUGAGUUAUAUUAAGGUGAUUUUAUUUUGACAAAUUUGAUUGAACAUUUAUAUUUGAUAGUUUACUUAAUUUGUUGUGUUGAUUGUUUUGGUUUUCACUUUUCACUAUUAGUUUCAUGUUCUCUUUUAAAAGUUGCAUGUAAUGGAUUGGAGUACUCAUUUUACUGUGUUUUAUAUGUAUAUUUGACUCAACCUUUCAGAUAAAAACAAAAUCUUGCAUUAACUAAAUCCAUGUAAUUGUUUUGGUAAAAAAAAUUGGUGUGAUUGUUGAUUGGAACUAGAAACAUAAUUUUUUAAUAGGUAAAUGUUAGUUGUUAAUAUGUAAUUUUAAUAGUCAAAUUUUUGUUUUAAAAAACAGAUGACAAAAGAGUAUUAUGAAAAGAGUACAAUGAACACCUAUCUUAGAAAUUAUGGUUGGACCUAACACAACCUCACAAAACCGGCUUGUGAGGUGAUGAUUGUCCUUAAUUAUAAACACAUUGGCAAGUCAUCUCCUAUUCGAUGUAGGAAUCUUAACACACCCCUCACAACCAGUUGGGUUUGAUUCGUGAACAUAAAUAGUGAGUGGCCCGAUAGCGGAAACCUGAUAGCAUGUGGAUCAUCAGAUCUUGGAGAAGGUUUUGAAACCAUUUGAAAUUUAGAAUCUAACUCAUCCUUACAAAACUGACUUAUCAACCUUAGUGAGAAGGAUCUUGUAGAGUACUGACGUGAGGGGGGUGUAUUGGGGAAAACUCAAGUCCCAUAUAAAAUAGAUAAGACUCAUAACAACCUGAACCAUUUAAAAAGAUAGGAAAAAGCAUAAAAAAAAAACUACCAACGACCAUUCAAAACAAAACAAAGAACGCUGAAAACACCCAGAUCUGUUAAAAUCAAGUUUUAGCCCGUAAAUCUUACAAUUCUACAAUUUCAAGAGUGUAUUUCCAAUCAACUUGCAUUUCCCCAAGUAAAAAAAUCAACUUACAUGUAGAAUCAAAUCUAAAAUUAUGAAUGAAAUAGAGUUCACAUAAGUUAAACCGAGUCAUAGUUGGUAAAUUGGUCUAAGUAUGUUUGUUGCUCAUGAGUGUUUAUCUUUUUAUAAUUUUGAUUGAUUGUUAAAACCAAGUUUUAACUCGUAAAAUCUAACAAUUCUAAAAGUGUAUUUCGAAUCAACGUGUAUGUAGAAUCAAAUCUAAGUAAAUUUUGUGAAUGAAAUAGAAUUCAUAUGAAUUGACUCGAGUUGAAAUUGAUAAUUUUGUCGGGGUUUCUUAGUGCCUGUUUGAAGUGACUUUUGAUGAAGCAAAAACACAUUGCACACUAUUUGAUGUAAAUCUACCUUGAUUUUAAGAAGUUGAGAAUUGAAACUUCUGCGUUAAAAUGAUUUUUUUACUGUAAUUUUAACAAAACGUGGUUUGCAGUCGUCCAUCCAAAAAGGCAAUAAGUUGUUCAUGAGUUCACCAUUUUAUAAUUUUGAUUGGUUUGUUUAACCAAUGAUGUAUUUAUCAUUAUUGUAAUUUUGAUUUAUCUUUUUGUACUCUCAUUAAUUCAUUGUCUAAAAAAAUGUAAAAUGUUUGAGUGUUCACUAGCAAAAUCUAUCAAUCUAACACAUUAAUAGACACCGCCAAAAAUUUACCUCGAUAAAUUCGUGAAACAAAUCAGCAAAUGUGGCUACAGUAAAUAUGAAAACAGUUUGACAUCUUAGCCUAAUAGGGAAUAAAAGGUACGUAUAUGUGCUGGCUAUUUUUCAUAUGUCAUCAAGGUAAAAAUCUUACUUUCACAGACUUUCUAACUAUAUUUGAUUAUUUUCCAUAAAAGAUUCUAACCUUUUACAAUUUCACACAUUCAUUUUUAAUAUACUACCAUUUUCUACACACAAUGCUAUGCAGCUUUUUCGAGAAGAACAUGACUAUUAAUAUUAGUAAGAGUAUUUUUUUCAGAGGAUGGGUAUUAAGAGAAAUGUUGGUGAAUAAUGAUACCCUUGUUACUCAUUCAACACAAUUACUAAAUUUAUAUUUAUGAAAAAAAUAUGAAUUUUUCUUAGGAUAAUUAUUUUGUGUGUUACUAAAAUAUUUUAACAAAAAACAUAAUUAAAGGACAAUUUUAAAAGCUUAGAUGCAUUAUUAACAAAUUUAUUGAAUUACCAAUAUUUUUCUAACCUAUGGUAAUUAGAAUAUUUGACCCUCAAUGGUGUCCAAAGUCUUUCCAUGACUAAGAUUCUCUGGGUUCGCUAUUAGACUUACUUUCGAGUUGGUAUCAAUAUAUUUGAUCUUUCUUUUACGAUGACUAAAUUGUUUCUCAAAUGAGUAAUUAUAAGAAUCAAAUCUGAUUUUUUUUAAAGAGAAAAGUCAUGUUGUCAACUCUUUUAACUGUCAACAAUAUGAGUGUUUUUGAUCUGCUAAAAAUGAAAGAUAAGACAUGACAACUUUAGUUCUAGUAUUUGAUUUGUAGAACUAUUUCAGGACAAGACAAACUGAAGGCAAUAGAUACGACAAAAACUGAAAUUUUUGUUCCUCACUAAAUCAUAGCACAACAUUUGGUCUCACAUAUAAAUUGCGCAAAAUACCAAAGUAGCUUUUUGUCCACCACAAAUUGUACAAGAUCAGAAAUCAUUCAAUACCACAAAAAUUUGUCAUUUGUUGUUAUGUCUUGUUUUGUGUUAUUUUAUCUUGUGAUGUUAUGUUCAAUACUUACAAUUUAGCAAUCAAGUAUCAAACACACUCUAUAUUAGUAUCUCAUUUUUUUAAUUCAUGUAUAAUAGUACAACUACUAGAGUACUAUAGUAAAUAAAUGAAUGAAACUUCAUGUUGAUUAGAAUUAGGUAUGAGUUAUUAUCUACGGGGGAUUAUUCUUUGUGCCAAGUUCCAUUCUUAAUUUUUUACGCAAACUAUCAAUGUAGACUGCUAGUAUAUAUAGUACCAUACUUUACAAGAAUAAAUGUGUAUUAGUUCAUCUCUUAAGGAAUGCUAGCCAGUAGCCUCACAUUCUAGAACAAUUUUUAGUACAGUCUUUAUUGCUGUUGGAAACUCAGGUAAACUUCACUCUCCUUGAACCCUCCUAACAAUUCGGUCCUAAACCUUUCAAAGACGAAAAACAAAAAUCAAUUUGGUUCCAAAGGCUCAAUAUAAUCGAGACUUUCAAUUGAAAGUAAGUAAAGUCUGAUCGAUGAUUGUUCUAAGUUUCAACUAGAAUUUAAGUUAUAAAAUCUCUAACAGUAUAUUAUCAAGACCCUACUUAUGUAGGACCUUAAUUAAAAUAAACUUAUUAACUUUAUUUUGAAAAUAUCCUUAUAAUUAAGUUUAGGCUAGAUAAUUAUGUAGUUUCGUUCAUAUAUUUCUUCAAAAAAAAGUGUCAUUCAUAUAGAAAGCUUAACAUAUUUGGUGCAUGCAUGUUUGGUUCUGUGAUGAAUAAAAUUGAUUUUGACCAACGAAUUAAUUAAUUUCGUGAAAUUGAUUUUUUUAAGAGUGAGAUGAAUGUAAAAUGAAAUAUAUUUGUAUAUAUUUUUUUUCUUCGUAAAAUCAAGUUGAACAACAAAUUUUAGUAUAAAAUCAUGUUUAGACUCCUGAGACAAAGUCAAUUCAACUUUCAAAAAAUCAUACAUGUUAAAAUCAAUACUAUACAUCUAAAAUUAAUAAUGGUCGUUCCAUACGUAAAAUCAAACAUAGACCUAGUUCAUAUAAUAAACUAUUAUUUAAAAUUGCAACAAAAAAAACUCAUUAACAAAUUAAUCUAAAUGAUAAGAUACUUGAUUAUUAAAUUAAAUAGUUAGAGAUUUGAUCGUUGACUUUUCUGUAUAUUGAAAAUCUGAUUGAUAAGAGAAAGUGUACCACAAGUUUUUUUUAAAAAGAUUAAUCAUCUCGAUGAAAUUUAUGUACUUGACAAAUUAAAAACUUGAUCGCUGACUUUUGUGUAUAUUAAAAAUCUGAUGAUAAGAGAAGUUGUACCACAAGUUUUUCUUAGAGAGAUUAAUCUCAUGAUGAAAUUUUUGUGUCCUACAUGGUAAAAUAAAAAGUAAAAAAUAAAAUAGCCAAUGGGAUAACGACACCUAUGUGAUGUGAUUCAAAAUAAGGUAAUGAACCACAGUAGAAAAUGACAUAGAUUUUUCUCAACAUCAUUAACACACAACACAGCUGUCACCACGCGUCAUUGCAACACACGCGCUUCCCAAACAACAACGUACUAAACCAAAUCGUGAAUCUCACGCUCCAACCACGCAAAUGGUUUACAGCAAAACUUUCUAAAAAUACCCUAAGCAAACUAAAGACAAUAAAAAGAAAGUUGUACAAAAAUAGAAAGUUACACCAACCCUAAGUUUCACUCCAUUUUUAUGGUUGAAAAAAUAAAAUAAAAAAUAAAAUAAAAAACAUCUGAAGAUAAAUUGCAAUCUUGUAUCAUUGAAACUGAACUGAACAACACAACAAAUAUCAUUGUUCUCUCUCUCUACACUUUCUCUCUCUAGGGUUUCAAGUAUAAAAAUGUUUCUAUUGUCUUUCACAAAUAUGGUACUGACCUAAGAAAAGAAGGAUUUAAGAAGUGGUAAGUUAAAGAGGAAGAUAGAGAAAUUGUUAUAAUAAAUAAAUAAAUAAAGUGAAAUAUUAUUAUUUUUGAAGUUGAAUAUGGGAAGAGGAAGAGUGGAAUUGAAAAGGAUAGAGAAUAAGAUAAACAGACAAGUAACAUUUGCAAAGAGAAGAAAUGGACUUCUUAAGAAAGCUUAUGAAUUAUCUGUUCUUUGUGAUGCUGAAGUUGCUCUUAUUAUCUUCUCCAAUAGAGGCAAGCUUUAUGAGUUUUGUAGCAGUCCUAGGUAUGUUUCUGUUUCUGUUUUUUUAUUCUUAUUUUUGUGUUUUUUUUUAAUAUUUUUUUUAAUUUUUAAUUUAUAUUUUCUUUUGUAGAAUCAUAAUAACUAAUUAAAUGAGUUUCUUAGAUUUUUUUUAUUGUUUGAUUAUUGAUUUAUGAGAUAUAUUUUAUUUGAAGGUUGAUUGAUUAUUUGAGAAGUUUUUAUUUUAGAUUUAUUUAUCUAUAAUUUUGAUUUUCUGUGUUAGUAUUUGAGUUUAUUGGAUUCAUGAGAUCUGGAGAUAUAGUACAUGAUCUGGUAAAUAUUGGAUGUGUUAUUAUUAUUUUUUAUUUAUUUUUUAUAAAAUUACUUGUGUUUUUUCCUUUGUGUUUUUCAUAUCUUUGUUUUGAGAAAGUUGAUCUGAUUAAAUUCAUGUGAUGUUUUUUUUUUCUUUUUCUUGAAGGGUUUGUAGUUUUUUAACUAAUGAUGAUAAAUGGAUAAUAGAUUUGUAAUUGUUUUUAUUGAGCUAAUGAUUUUUGUUUGUUUAUUUUAGAAUUUAAUAUUUGAUUUACUUUCUAGAGAUUUUUUUCUUAAAGUUGCUGACAAGUUGUUACCAGCAGUACUAGAUUUACAUAUAUUCAAAUAAAUCAAGGACAUGAUGUUAGCUUCCUGAGUUUAUUAGUACCAAUAAAUAAAUUUCUCAUUUUUUUUUUUGACAAAAAAUAAACAAAUUUAUCUUUGUUUACUCUAAAAUUAACAAAUAUAUUUGCAUUUAGAAAGGAAUUAUAUAUGGAUGAUUAAUUUCAUUCAGUGUUUUGCUCUUCUCUGAAAUUUCUACUUAUAUAAUGGAGUAUUUAACACUUUAUUUUUCCUUCCAUUUUAUGCCUUAAAUUCACCAUUGAAAAAGUGAUUUUUGUGUUAAGAACUCCAAAGUUAGAGACUAAUAUUAGUAUUUCUGUCUCUAAUUUCUGUUGGGAAUUUUCCAUGCCAAAUUUCUAUUUUUCUCUUCAAUUUAUCACCUAAUAUGCUACCUCUUUACCCCCCAGGCCCCCCUUUUGUUUUCAAUGUAAUUUAUAAAUUUAUAAAUAUUUCUGAUGAGAUCUCCUUCAAAUUUCUAUAGUCACUUAUUAUUAAAGAUAAAAAGUACUAUAGUAAGUUCAUUUACUAAUAUUCAUGUACAUGAUGUGUUAUUUGAUGCAUUCAAUUAAUGACAAUGAAAUCAAAUAAGUCUAAGAAACCUAUAUGAUAGUUUUCAGUCAUAUAUUCCUUACUUUUAGUUCUUUUUCCUGUUAUGAUACUCAUUCUGUCAUAUUGAGGGAAAAGACAUUAAAGCAUGACUUGAUGUUCAAAGUACUCACACAUAUAUGUGCUGAAUUGGGAUAUAUUUAGUGGAUCAUAUUUAGUAUUGGUCUAUUGGACAAUUAAUAUACAACAUUUACUUUUUAAUUUACUUGAGCUAAGAUAAAAAAUGGGAAAAGGAAAUGGCUUCACAAACAUGGAAUUUAACCCUAGAAAAAUUUUAUUGUCAAUAGGAGAACAAAUUCAUAAAUGCUCCUAAAUAUAGGGAUAUAUCUUGGACCAACAUUUUAUAUUUAGUUGUAAUCAAGAAAUUAAGAAAUUAAGGGUUCAUGUUUUGGUGGCCUGAUAUUGCAUUUCACUUGUAUUUGAGCCUCAUUAUCUUAAUUUUACUUUUAUAUGCUUGAGUUUGUGAAACACAUAAGCUAUUCAUUGUUUUAUUUAUAAGUGCUUAAAUAAUUACAUUCUUAGCAUUUUCUUGUGCUUUGGAUCUAUGAAUAUCAUUUUAGUUGUAUGAAAUUGUUAUUCAUGAAUUGAUUGGUUGUUCCUUUCUUUUCCUUGAAUGCAGCAUGCUCAAGACGCUUGAUAGGUACCAAAAAUGCAGCUAUGGUGCAGUAGAAGUUAACAAACCUGCCAAAGAGCUUGAGGUAUAUAAAGCUAUUGCUUUAAUUUGUUUAACACACAUGAUUAUAGCAUUUGGCCCUAUUCAAAUAAACAACUUCAUUAAGCAUUUAUAGCCUAAGUGCUUAUCAUAUACUACCUUCGUCCCUAGUUAUAAGCCCUUUGAAGAAAAUUUUGUGCUAAGUAUAAGCCAUAUGCAAUUUACUAUGUGCAUUUUAUCUCUCUCUAAACAUGCUCCUUAUUAAUACUGCCAAUUGAUCUUGAAAAAUGAAAAGUUAAGGUGGACAAGGGGUAUUUUAGGAAGAUCCACAUAGUAAAUAGACACACGAAAUUCACUAAUAGUUUUUCUUAAUAUUUUUUUUUAUGGUGGCCGGGGUUCGAACUCCCGAACCGUGCAUAUAUUAUGUAUUGUCCCUACCAACUGAGCUAAGCUCACGAGGACAAUAAUUUUUCUUAAUAUAUGAAAUUUUUUAGAGGUCCUUAGAAAAAUGAACGGAGAAAGUAAGUGAUUACGUUACGUAUAAACUAUUUUUAUAAUAAAAGAUACAAUAAAGUCAAAAUAAUUUUCAUAUUAACUAUAAUUUGUUAUCAUAAGCUAACAAUAAUUCAUGGACAUGUCAUAAAUUGCUUUUACAAGUGCGUCUAAACAUCCUCACAAAUACUUUCGUCAAUAGAUAAACCUAAAUAAGUCAUUUUAGGUAUUUUUUUCAACAUCUCUUGAAAAUUUCACUCAAGAAAAGUGUUAUAAACUACUAUAGAGCAUUGAAAAUAUGCUUAUGCCUAUUGUUAUAAACUAUUGAAAAUAUGCUUAUGCAUUGAAAAGUGUUAUGGACUAUUGUUAUAUUUAACUUGUUACUUGCUUUAGCAGAGCAGUUACCGUGAGUACUUGAAGCUGAAAGCAAGAUUUGAAUCUCUUCAAAGGACUCAAAGGUAAAUAUAUUAACAUGUGUGAGUGUAAAUGUUCAAACUAUAUAUAUGUUUUUGAAGUGUUUCAUUAAGACCAUGGCAUUUUGUUCCUUAAUUGCAGAAACCUUCUUGGUGAAGACUUAGGUCCAUUAGGUACCAAAGAUCUUGAGCAGCUUGAACGCCAACUUGAUUCAUCUCUCAAGCAAGUCAGGUCCACCAAGGUAUAAAAAUUCGUCUCUAAUUACAUCGUUAACUGUUAGAGACAUCAAAUUUAGUAAUCAAGUUUAUGUUUCUGUCUCUAAUUUUCGUCGCAUCAACGCUUUUUAGUGGUGUUUGUGAGUAUUUAAGAUGCAUAAAGAAAUUUUUUAAACUUAAACUUUCAACUUUAAUUAUGUCAUACUGCUCAAUUAGUAAAAUAUAAUUUCUUGAAUAGAAUAUUUCAUAAAACCCUAAGUUUCAGUAAAAUGUGAAAUGCUUAACUAUGUUGGUGACACAGUUUUGAUCAUGAAAAUGGUUAAUAUAUCUGAAAACAAAUCCUGAUAAUUCCUAGUCUGAAGUUUCCUUAUGAAUAGCUUAUUAUUACUUGUGAGAUUAAAUCAUUAAAUUGGUCUCUGUCUUUGUACUCAUUUUCAAAUUAGCCUCCGACUAUAUUAAUAUUUCAAACUAAUUUAUGUCUUUAUCAAAAGUUUUUCAUUUAGGUCCCUCGUCAUGCGACAGAAACAUAAAAAAGACCUAAUUGAGAAACUUUUAACAAAGACAGAGACUAGUUUAAAAUAUUAAUAUAGUCGGGGACUAUUGAAAAUGAUCUACAAAGAUAGGGACCAAUUUGGUGGUUUCUUGUUACUUCUUUUGAUGAUAUCUGACAUUAAAUGGAACAUCAAUUUGCAGACCCAAUUCAUGCUGGACCAAUUAGCUGAUCUUCAAAAUAAGGUACAUGGUGUUUGCAUUACUUCAUAAUAAAUCAACUUUAUAUGUUCCUAACACAUGUAAUCCAUUUUUUGGCCAUAGGAGCAUAUGUUGGUAGAAGCAAACAGAUCUUUGUCUAUGAAGGUAACAUUCAUCCAUCAUCCAUGCCAUUAUUGUUCUUAUGCAUGGUUCUAUUUCACAAUAUGAUUAUGUACUUGUCUAAAGUACUUGGAACAUUAAAAUACUAUUAUGAAUUUUUUUGAAAAGGAAAAAUACUAUUAUGAAUUGAUUAAUGUACCUUAAGACUAAAGUAGUAACCUAUUCUUACAAUAUAAAGACUAUAGUACUGAUUUAUACCUAUUCAUCCAUUCAUAUUAAUUAAGUCCUUGUGCUGAUGAUUUGAUUGAAUACUAUUCUAUUGAAAGCUGGAAGAAAUCAAUAUCAAUUCAAGAAACCAGUAUAGGCAAACAUGGGAAGCUGGUGAUCAAAGUAUGGCAUAUGGUAAUCAAAAUGCUCACUCACAAAGCUUCUUUCAGCCUUUGGAGUGCAAUCCAACAUUGCAGAUAGGGUAAUAAUCUAUAAAUCAUUUUCUUUUUUGUUGUUGCUAAAGAUGAUUUGAAUUAGGUUUAACUAUUCUCUAGGUCCUAAACUAUUUCAAAAAAUUUAAAUAGGUCACUGAAUUAAAAAAAAAUAUUGUACCUGGGCCCCUAAAUUUGUUAUUGAUUUGUAAUUAGGUCCUUAAACUACUUUUUUUUUUUUUUUAAAUCGUGUCCCUAAAUUUUUAAAUAAUUUGUAACUAUGUCGUUGAACUUACGGAACUUACAGAUGCAAAUAUAAAUUAUUUAAAAUUUUAAGGACCUACUUAUAGUGCAUGUUUGGAAUCACAUUAAAAACAAUAAAAUGACACUGUGAUAUUGUUGAAACUCUCGAGUGUAUUUUUUGUCAAAAUGAAAUAGUUCAGAUACAUAUAAAAUAUAUUGAACCUUUAAAUUAUUAAAUUCUAAACCAUUGUUCCUUGAUACAGGACUGAUUACAGGUACAGUCCUCCAGUAGCAUCAGAUCAGCUAACUGCAACAACUCAAGCUCAACAAGUUAAUGGAUUUAUUCCUGGAUGGAUGCUUUGAGCUAAGCUCAUUAUUUCUCUAUUUGCAUAAAAGCAAAAGACAAAAAAAUGCCUUUUGGUUUUGACAUUGUUGUAAAUGCUGCAUGUGCUUCUUUCUGGUUAACUUGUUUUGCUAUAAAAACAGCAGUGACUGAAUUAAAACUAUUGAAACUUUUAGCCAUAGAUAUAUAUGGCAUAUAUGAAGGUUUUUAGUAUUUUGAAUAUCUUUAGAUGUUAUUUUCAUUUUUCUUAUGCAUCACUUACUAAUCUGAUACUAAUCUAUAUGCUUUAUAUCAUUAUAUGCAUUGUUUUUAAACAUCAAUUUUAAUUUCAUUACUAGAGGAACAUAUAAAAUAGUAUUUGGUUGGUUGUGAAAAGGGUGGUACAAUGUGUGUAUGAGUAUCUUUUUUCUAUUUGGAAUAUGUUUGAAGGCAAAUUUUAAUAUGGACCACCUUCAUAAGUGUUUCAUCAUGGACCAUACUUUAAAAAUGUUUAAAUGUUAAAAUAAUUUAAGUGAGUAACCACUGAAAAUUGACUAAACUAUUUACAAAAUUGUGGGUUCAACUCAUGUUGUCAGCAUGAGACCUCUUUAAUCAAUGAUUUAUAAAUAUCUUUGUUAGUGUUCAUUAAACUUUGAGACUUUCCUCGACACUCGGUGAAUCUCUGAAAUUAAAUUUAUCCAAACAUCAUUUGAUCCCCAAACUCCUCAAUAUAGUGCAUUUGAAAGAAGAGAAAAAAUAUGUUCCACACGUGAGUCAUAUGAUCAACUGCACAUAACUAAAGUUUGCAUGGGAAUGCUGACCUCUUUCAAUGCAACUCCAUUUGAGCUUAGCAUAAACAUUAAAUAUCCACUUGUAUUGUUUAAAGUAUGUUCCUUAGAACACCAUAUGUAAUGUUGGUAUAAAAAAAAGUUAAAGUGCAUUUUUCCCCCCUUAAGUUUUAAAAAGUUAUAAUUUUAGUUCCCUAUGUACAAAAACUACAAUUUUGAUCCCUUAAGAUUUAGCCCAUUUGCAACUUUGAUCCUUUUGGUCAAUUUUGACCAAAAUAAUGAAUUAAAAAAUAAAAAAUGCCACAUAAUCAUUUUAUAAAUUAAAUAAAUUAAAAAAUAUUAAAAAUCAGAAAAGGUUAAAAAUAAAACCCAAAACAAACAUAUUCAUCAUUCAUCUCUACCAAUCCAAAAAAAAAACCUUCAAUCUUCAAUUUUCAUGUCUUCAUAACAAUCUUCAAAAAUUGUAAUUAACAAAAAAAAAAAAAAAAGACUUAAUUGCUAUUUUUCGUCCCUUAACUAAUUUUUUGGUAUCACUUUGGUCCCAUAAUUAAUAAAAAGUCUGUUUGAGUCCUUUAAAUAUGUCUCUGUUACAUAAAUUGGCUCCUUCCGUUAAUUUUAUUAAAAAAUUGUUAGAAUUUGUACAAGUCAUCACCUUCAUUCAACUUCUUCAUCUUCUUCCUCAUCCACAUUCAUCAACCUUCAUAAUAAAAAUCCAGCACAACAGAAAACUGAAGAAAAAAAAUCGAACCUUGAAAUUGAAAUUGGAAGAAAACAAAUUGAUUCUUAAAUAUUGAAACAUAAAAGCUCUAUUUUCUGUAGAGGAAAAAAAAAACUCAUUUUCAAAUUCAAUCUAAACUCUUCAUCAUUAUCAUCAUCAUCAAUCCUUCAUAAAAAUCCAUUCUUCAUAAAAAUCCAUUUUCUGAACUAAACCCAUCACCAUUAUUCCUUCAAAAACAAAACUCAUUGUCGAAAGAGGAACACAUAUGAAGGAGAAUUGGAACACGAUUUCAGUACCCCAAUCAAAAGAGGAACACAUGAGUAAGAACUAGAACACAAAAAACUUGAAGAUUAUUUGCAAUUUCAACAACGCAUGCAAAUCAACGAUUUUGAGCAUGAUUUCCGAUUUUCAUUUGUUUAAGAGGAAUUGAAAACGAAUUUUCGUUUGAUGGUGUUAUGAGAAGACCUAUGGAAGAAGAAGACGACGACUUAUGGUGUUAUGGGUGAAGUUGUUGUCAUUGGAAUAAAAAAAAUUUAGUCAUUCCAAAUCUUAAAGAAAUUCACAAAUUAAAAUGAUAAUGAGUUUAGAUUAGGAUUUCAUAUGAUAAAGGUAAAGUAUUAUAUGAUGAGUUUUGUUGUUUAAGUUUUUUUUUUUUUUUUUUUCUCUGGGUUUGUAUGAAGGUUUUAUGAAGAUUUGUUGAAGAAGAUGAAGAUGAGGAGGAAGAAGAUGAAUAUAAAUUCCAACCAAUGUGAAAAUGACACGUGUGCUUGAGUUAACAUAUUUUUUAAUAAAAUUAACGGAAGGAACCAAUUUAUGUAACAGAGACAUAUUUAAAGGAUUCAAACGGACUUUUAUUAAUUAUGAGACCAAAACGAUACCAAAAAAUUAGUUUAGGGACGAAAAUAGCAAUUAAGCCAAAUAAAAAUUAAUUCAAAUUAAAUGGCACAAAAUUGUAUUCCUUUUCCAACUAGCAGCAACGUAAUAGUUGAAUCCUAAACUUUUUUUUUUUUGGUCAAAUGAUAAACUCUUAUUUCUAUUAUGUAUUUGAUUGACGCAUAUAAUAAACUAGAUUAAUAUUUAAAAAUGCUGAAAUUGCCGAAAUUGUUAGGCCGGAUGCCAUGAUCGGGGUUCGAACCCCGGUACCUCCACUUGUGUGUGUGAGUUUAUAAUGGCUUUGCCAUUUCGUCUAUCUAAAAAAAAAAAAAAUUGAUAUUUGAACAGCUAUUUUACAAUAACUUUUGUGACAAUUUUAUCUCUCAUACUUACAUCAUGUUUUUACUUGAUCUGUCUUUGAUAAAUCAUAAAAAAUGAUAAGAUUAAUCAUGUGAUAAAGUUAUUCAUUUUUAAAAUUUGCCCAUGGAAAACGACCAUAUUUUUCUAAAAAUAAAAUGGAGAGUCAUACUCAUAACCCAAAGAGGAGGGAAAAAAAAGCUAGAUAAAGUGAAGCCGGAGAUUCUUUAUAGACUUCUUCUAACUCCAUGCUUCUCAAAGCCCCUUGAUUUGUCCGAAUUUUAAAAUCCAAACUCGUAAAAAAUGGAGUAAAAUCAAUCCAAUCCUGUAAAUUUAAGGCAGCGAGCAUCGCAACUCGAAAGGAGAGAACAUGAUUUUUUUUUUUUGGGGAGUCCAUCGACUUGCUAAAGUUGACGAAUUAUAGUAUAGCCAUAACACAAAGGGUUAAAAAUAAGUGUAGUGUAAUAAUUAGUGUAACUAUUUGGUGUAAUUUGAUCUUUUAUAUAUGCAUACAUGACUUUUCUUCAAGAUGAAUUGUAGAACUCAUGGCUUGGAAAACACCAAACCUUACAGUAAACAACAGAGCAAUAAUAGAUCAACAUGGUGCUGCAUUGACAAAGUUUCCAUCUAAAUCACUUUUUUUUCCUUCACAGUUGUUUCAGACAAGGAGACAAGCUUCAAUCUAAAAAACACAUGAGCAGUAAGAUUGAACUCACAACAAUUAAGAAAAACUUUCAUAUACAUAUACAAACACUUCAUCUUUCAUUAUUCACAAUGUCUAUACUUUUAUAUCCUUCCUUUCCUCUGUUGCUUCCUUUAUGCACCACCCAAAUCAAUCAAGUGUACGUCGUUUCAUCGAAAUCCAUUUCCUAUACAGAAAAAUAUACACAUAUGUAGCCAAAUAUAUAACCAAUUUAUCAUUCAUUAAAAUCCAACUAAAAGCCUAGAAUUUUGCAAUCAAUCAGGAAUACAUUGCCAACAACAAUCUAUACAUCAUAGAAGAGAUAAAAUUACAUCGGUAUAACAUUUGGAUAGUGUUACAUUGUUCAAUAACCUUCUACCAUAUACACGUACAUAUUUUAUGUAACUCGCCGUUUGAAUGAAAAUUUAAAUCAUAGAUUAUCUCAGUAGAUUUUUUAUAUAAAACUAAAAUUCUCUAACAUGUCAUUGAGACACAUCAAGAUUAACGUCAUUUAAUAAAAAACACUUAAAGAUGUUAAUCUUGGCGCAAUCUACAGUUGCCAACUUUACCAAGAUUAAAAACAUAGUAUGUUAUAAUUAAUGACAGAGGCAGUAACUAAAAUUAUUGAAACAAAAAAAUGAUUGAGCAGAUACAUAUCGGCACUGUGCAUUUUUUUGUUAACUACUAAGAUUAUGUUUUGUUCAUUUAGCAUUUACAAGUCACGAUAAUUUAAUAUUUGAACUUCUCUUAAUAGAAGGUGUAGUUCUACCUUGAUGUAUGCUACGAAGCAAAUUUUAUGGAUUUCACUGCAAACAUAUUUGGUUAAAGAUGUUAGAAAAUAAUACAUUACCUUCCCACAAACUGGACAAUUGUCACUUCUCUCCAUCCACUCAUAGAUGCAACCAAGGUGAAAAUGAUGAGAGCAUUUUGUCAUUAUCUUUGGAUUCUCUUUAGUGUACUCUGCAAGCAUAAACAAUUGUCAAAACAUAGAACUUAUCAAGAUGCAUAUUAUUCAUAUUUUUACCUUCAAGAUCAACUAAUGAAACCAUUGCGCAAACCAAGUUUUAUUAUCCCCGUUCAAUUGAAAUAUACCUUCAAGAUCAACUUAACAAUUUAAGGCACAAGAGGCACAAAUUUGAAAGUAAAAGGAAAAAUGAUGCCCAAUGGAGGCUCAAAAGAUCGUCAACUUUCUAUAGUAUAUCGAAUCAAUUUAAGUCCUUAUAAGUUAUAAAGCUUGAAUAAUUUUCACCUCUUGAGCUAGCUUUUGGGGCUAAGUUAGGUCUAAAGCCUAAAAAUCUGCAUAUAGUAGAGUUUAUCAUUGAUCCAUUAUUGGGCUACCCAUAUUUAUUUCUCCUAUGUUCUACAUGUUCGGUCCUGACUCCUGAGCAUGGGGUACAUUCAUUCACGCUUUAAACAUCUAUCUAGUCUUAAGCAUGAGGGGUGUCAGAGUCCCAAUCAAUAUAGAUAUCGCCUAAGGCAAUCAUAAAAUUGAGACAAUCCUAACCUAACAAGUCGAUUUAAUAUGGUUCCAUUAGGCCCUAGCUCGCCUUUUUAAUAGUUUACAUUCAAGCAAAAGGAAAAUAUUAUGCACAAUAUAGGCUCAAAAGAUCAUCAACUUCCCAGAGUAAGUAUAUCAAAUUAAAGUUUCUAAGUACAGGCUUGAGGAAUUCUCACCUCUUGAGCUAGAUUUUAGGGCUUAGUUUAAGCCUAAAUCCUCAGAUAGUGAUAGAGCCAUAUCGUGGAUAUGUUAUUGGGUUACCCAUAUUUGUCCGUGUGCUAGAUGUCCGCUCAUGGAAGGUGUUUUAAAAUCUCUAUUACUCAGUCACUCACAUUUGUCCACCAUGGUAGUAAGAAUCGCGAGUCAACUCAUUGGAGCAUACAAUCUGUAUUGCGAUCCCGCGAUUUAUGAUCUCGUGACCCCUUCCCGGUCUCAGGUAGGAUCUCGAUUCUGACUAUCUUGGUCCAUGCUUCAGACGUCUAGUAUUAAGCAUGAAGGGGUGUGUUGAGAGUCUCAAUCAAUUAGAGAUAUUGCCUAAGAGGUAAUCAUAAAACUCAGACAAUCCUAACCUUACAAGUCAAUUUUAUUUGAAUCAGUUGGGCCCUAGCCCAAAUUUUAAGAGUUGUCGUUCAGGCUUAAAAGAAUAUUUCACUACACAAGCACAAAGUUAUAACUAUAAGACCCCUACAUGACACUGAAUGCAAAUAGAUAAAAAUCUGAAAAGAAAAUAAACUAUACAAUGCGGUGGGAACAAAGUUACAGUGAGUUACAAGGCAUAAUAGGAUUAAAAUGAAGAUAGUUAUUAGAGAGUUGGUGUAAAAGCUAACGUGGAAAAGAUGGUAUAGUCUUUUCUUAGACAGUUUGGAUAUGUCACAUGUGUGGUAAAGACAGAGAAGCCCGGGAAGAAAAGUAGAUAAGAAUGGUAGCGAAAAAGUUGGGACUAGAUAAUAGUACCCAACAAAAACUGUAGACUAAACCACUAAGAAGGAUUUAGAUUUAAAUGGCUUGAUGAUCUACUUGAUUUAAGAUAAAAACUACCAAGUAAUUUAUCAAAAAAAAUUAACCGACUCCACCUAAUGGAAGGGAAGAUUGCAUUGUUCUUUUUGUUGAUGCCAAAAUCUUUCACUGACUAUGUAGCACUGACACUUCAGAACGAAAGCUGGUCCAGUGUCCGACACUAACACGACACAGACCACAUGUGGUUACAUUUAAUCACUUCCAUUUUAUCAUAUUAUUACUGGUGUAUGUGUCAAUGUUCAUGUAUAUACCUGUGCUUCAUAAAUCACCGAGCAUCAUAUAGUACCAAACCAUGCUGAUUUAAGUCCCAGUAUCAAAGGGUCUUCUAAUGAAAAACUGAGAUUAUUAAAGAAAAUGUAUAAAUCUACCUUCAAGACAAGUUGGACAAAUAUCCUCGUCUUCCGACGAUGCAUAAAUGAGUCCAACUCCGGUUGUAUAUUUUGCUGAUGAAAGUUUUAAUGCGGACUUAGAACGGUAUAUCUUUGAUUCAUCUUCACAGGCACAUUCAUUCCAUUUCUCUGAUGAAUGUAAAGGUUCUGGAUCCACAUCUGUGUCACUUCUUAGAGGUUCAGUUUCGUCAUUUGAAUGGCUUGAACUUUUCUCACGCCUUGAAACUAGUCCAUCACGCUGCGAGCGGAAAAACCGAGGCUCUGCAUCAUAAGGUAAAGGCCUUGGAGGAGAACGGUACAUGUCAGAUAGAGAAUUAUCAAGUGAUGCGGCAGAAGUCAUGGACGCUGUCCCCUGAAGAGAUGAAGGAACUGAAUGUGCUUCCCCUCUACGAAAUAUUGAUGCAUACUGAAAUUUGAGAUAGGAAAAUGGUUAUAUUUUUUAUUAAAAACUACAGCUCUGAUUUACAUCAUUGUGAAAAAAGGAUUUUGGUCUAAAAUAGUCUUUAGGUAGCUUUCCAACAAAUCGUAAUAUAAAUGCCGAUCAAUAAGGUGGAUUUACCAUCAAGAAACAUACAUUCACAAAUGCAGAGUACUUUUCCUAGGCCAAAUAAUAGGUUAGUACAAGCAAUAUUGUCAAUCAUGGAUCGCGGAAAAUAGUGGUUUGUUCACAUUCCACCUUGCCACAGUGCUAUACCGCCGCUAUUUGACAACACUUUGUAACAAAUAGCAUAUUGGCAUCGCAAAACAAUAGCGAUUUAUUCAAAUUCCUCUAUACUAUAGCGCUGCUACAGCCAUUAUUUGACAACAGAGUACAAAUUGAUUUGAGAUGUUUUUCUUUUGUGGGCUUUGUAGGACAAGUUUGCAAUCACUUGACUAUGUAAGCUUCAUAUUAUAAACUUUCCCGCAAAACUAAGUGAGACAUAUUUUGAUUUUAAGAGUCACCUCUAACAUUGAUAGCACUCGAGAUUUCUUCACUGAAGCAUACAUGCAAAAGAAUACCAUUUAAAAAUAAGUAGGACUAUGACACAUUUCAAGAAUAGUUGUACGCACUAUACAAAACCAGAACACUAAAGAGAUGCUAAUGCCAACAAUUUCACUUGCAAAAUUUUAGGUUAUAUAAUUCAAGCAAAGGAACCAGGUGUGCAAGGAACGCAAAGAUCAGCACAUCAGAUGUUCAUGCGAUGUCGCUAUAGUCCCCAAAUUAAUGAAAAUUACAAAAGCAUCUCAAAUGUGUCUCUCGUCAAUCAGUUUGGUACUCGAAUGUGUUUUUCGUUAGUUAGUUUAGUCCUCAAAUGUAUCAUCCAUUAGUCAGUUUGAUCCAUCAAUAUACUAACAAAAGUUACACUCGAAUUGUUGUAAUUUCGAUACAAUCAAUGACUACAUAGACAUUGCCUCACAUUUAGCAACCAAUAUGACUAUUUACUCUUCAAAUUCAAAUUACGUAUAAGGCAAACAAAACAAGGGAGAGAAUGGAAAGAGGAUGUAGAUACAUACCACAUUCAAAAGAUUCUGAACCAAGCAACUGAGACACGGGCAAUUCCUAUACACAGUACUAUUUGGAUUUACAUAAUCUUCAUAAUCAUCAAAGCUCAAACAACAACAAACAGAACCCAUUAUUCCAACUAGCUUCAGAUUUCUCCCACUCUUCAACUGAUCAAUGAAAACUAGAUGGUGCUACAUGCAUGGUUUGAGAAAAAUAGUCUCCAACAGCACCACACCAACUAUGUUUUCAGAAGCUUCACUGCAUCCAUGAAACAGUACCAUCCCUCAUUUGUAAUAUGGAUCAAAGCACUGUUGCUCUUGCUCACCUGCAAAAUAAAUCAAAAUAGCAUUACAGAAAAACAACAAGAUCAUUAUUGAAAAGCAUGAGAAAGUUGUAGAAUAUACCAUUCAUACAAUUAUUUCACAAAUUAAAAUAACUAUGCUCGAAUUCAAGAUAAGAAAUUCCCUUAUAUAUUUAAUGCGCAAAAAUGUGUAUGUGUGUAUUCAUCAGAAAAAUAAUAUCACUUGUUUAUUAGCUUGGUUGCCACAUAUCUGAGCAAUGCACCAAAUGUUCAUUAUUCAAACCAACGUGUACAGAACUUACAAGGAUAUAAAAUCAGAACUAUGACACAAGAUCAGUACAAAACACAUGAUAUGAAUACCAUAUAACAUAAAAUAACUAAUAUAAAAUGGAUUUAAUCCAUAUACAUUGUCACCGUAAAGAUUUUUUACACCGUCAAUAAAUCAUAAUCGUCCCAACAUUAACAACAUUUGACUUUUUAAUCCGUACACACAAUUAGUGGUGAUUUGCUGACAAUAUAAAACUUCACACUUAAAUUUUUCUAAAACUUUUUACACUGAAAGUGUAUCAAAAAUUAAAUUAUUAUUAUAAAAUUAAAAAACUAAUAUGAAAAUUUGACACACACCGACAGUAUCAUGUGCUCAGUCUAUAAACUCCAAAGUUUGGAAAAUUUGAUUCUUUUCUUCACAUAAAAGCUAUGUCAUUGUAUCAACCAACAUCAUCACAGUACAAAGCUUCAAAAAAUUAUAUAAAUUACAAAAUAAAACAAAUAAUCAAUAUAAAAUCAUAUCAGAAACGCACUUGAAUUAGCAAAAACAAAGCGACCCAUUUCAGAUUAUCAUAUCAAUAAGCAAUUAAAAGGGUCAAAAUGAAAUUUAGAAGCCGAAAACUCAGGUGGGUAUGGUGAGAAAAAUAUAAAAAUUGAAUUUUUAUUAUUAUUUUUUUAUAAUAAAAAGAGUGUAAGAAAAAGAGAUUGAAGAGAUGAACCUUGGAGUGAGAAAUUGAGGAGAGUAGAUAGAUGGUUGGAGAAUGAAAUUGCAAAGGAAAAGGGGUUGAAAAUUUUGGAUUUUUGCGGCGAUUAUUGCUAUGAAACUGCGAAAUUGAAGCUAUCUCUUGUUCUUCUCUUUCUUUCCCUUUUGCUUUGGUUUGGUGGGUGAAGUGGAGUGUUUUAUUUAUUUUAUUUAUCUUUUUCAUUUUCUAUUUUAUGAGUAAAUAAAAAAUUCAAUCUUUGAAAUUUAUAAAGUACAACAUUUUUUUUUUUGAAGAGAUUAAAAUGAGAUAUAUUACCACAACAUAGGGCCUCCUGGCUCAAGAUGAAUCAAGGAAGAAAACCCCAAAGAGUUAAAACAACAACUAUACAAUAAUUACAAGACAAAGGCCUACACCGCACAACAUGCCGGUUCCACCAAAGAAUUAGCCUAUGCCUAAAAUAGUAAACGGACUAAUCCACCAACCAUGAUAAUUGAAGGAAAGAGUUAUAAACCUCGUCUUCAACCAUUUGAAAGUCAGUAACUUAAUCCUAUCGACCACCUGUAAGAUUGAGCUAUCUAUAGCCUUAAAAAUUCUGUUAUUCCUUUCCUUCCAAAUUUCCCAAACUGUUGCAAACCAAAUAACCUGUAAAAUUGAUUGCCUCGAUUUAGAGACACCACCAAAGUGGUGAAAUUGAGUAAAAUUCCCAGAGACGUCAUUAGGUAACACCGUAACAACUCCAAGCCACUGUAGAAUAUAAUUCCAAACCGUACUAAAAAACAUACAAUGAAACAAUAAGUGAGUGGAAGUUUCAAAACAUCCACAACCACCCACACACAUUUGAUCAUCGAAUUGCAACACCUGACGCCUAAAUAAAUUAUCUUUUGUUGGAAGUCGGUCACGAAACAAACGCCACACAAACAACAAAACCUUUAGCUGUACAUCCUUAUGCAAAAUAAAAGGUGCUGUCCCCAUUGUGACGACAACAUCUUGUGCGAUAAUAGAUGUAUAUGCACUGCGAACUGAAUAAAUUGAAGACAAGUCUGGCUUCCAUAUCCAUUGAUCCUCUCUAUGAACCUGUAAAGACAAAUUUUGCAGUAAAAUAAUAAGCUCUUCCACCGACUCCUCCUCUCACGCAAACAACCUACGUCUCCACCUCCACGCCCCUCCAUCCACCCCCCAACCUAACUCUUUCAUCACCGCCACAGAUUCAUCCUUCAACAACGUCAACUCAAAUAACCUAUAAAAUCUAGCCCUUAACGACACCUCUCCCACCCAAACAUCCGACCAAAACUUGGUAUCUUUUCCAUCACCCAAGGAGCGAGAAAUAUUACUAUAAAACCACCCCUCCGACCUCAAACUCGCCACAUUCCUCCACCACAAAGAACUAUCACGAUCUCCAACCCUCAACCUUCCGUUCUCUAAACCAUUCCUAGCUGCCAACACCCUAAACCACAAACUAUCCUUCUCCACCAACAUCCGCCAACACCACUUCCCUAGCAAUGCCAAAUUAAUUUCUUUUAUUCUCCUUACCCCCAAUCCUCCAACCUCCUGACUCCGACAAAUAGAAUCCCAGUCAACCCAAAAAAAUUUCCUAUGGUCUACACUCCCCCGCCCCCCCCAAAAAAAAUAAUAUUUAAAAUAGAAUUGAUAAAGGAAAUAAUACCUGACGGAGCCUUAAAAAAGAAAGAGCAUAAACAGGGAGUGAUGACAGGACAUAUUUCAGUAAAACCAAACGGCCACCCAAGGACAAGUGUCUCGACUUCCAACCCGACAGUCUAGAAUUUAUUCGAUCAAUAAGCGGCUUCCAAAAAUUCAAUCAACUAGCAUUCCCGCCAAUAGACAAACCAAGAUACAUAAACGGAAUGGUACCAAUUUUACACUUCAUCACCAUAGAAGCCUUGACAACCACGACCCUUCAACAUUAACCCCGACCAAAAGACUCUUAGAAAAAUUCACCUUAAGACCAGAGAGAUCCUCAAAAAGCAAUAAGAUGGCCCGCAAAGCUCUGACAUUAGCCCAAGAUUUUUCGCAUAAGAUAAUUGUAUCAUCCGCAAACUGAAGAUGAGACACCACCACCGGCUCAUGGCUGCCCACCUUAUAACCAGAUAAGAGAUUAUUAAUUGCAAAAGCUUCCAUCAACACAUGAAACCCCUCUGCCGCCAAAAGAAACAAAAAGGGUGAGAGAGGAUCUCCUUGCCUUAAACCCCUACCCAAAGAGAAUUCAUCUGUAGGAGACCCAUUAACCAACACUGAAGCUGUGGCCGUCCCCACACACUCCUUAAUCCACUUACGCCAAAGAGUCGGAAAAUUCAUUUUCACCAUCACUUUAUCCAAGUAGCUCCUAUCAAUGGAAUCAUAUGCUUUCUCAAAGUCAACCUUGAAAAGUAAUAAUUCAUUAUUACGUUUCCUUGCAACAUCAACCACCUCAUUUGCCACCAAAAUGCCAUCUAGAAUCUGACGACCUUUAAUAAAGGCCGAUUGAGCAUCAGAAAUAACCGAACCAAUAACCAAUCGAAGCCUAUUAGCCAGAACCUUAGCCAAAAUUUUAUACAAACAACCAACCAGAGAAAUGGGCCGAAAAUCAUUCAAUUUUUGAGGACAAUCAAUCUUCGGAAUAAGAAGUACGACAUUUAUUUAUUAGUGAGUAAACCAUCAAAUUGGUUUAUAUCUUUUAAGUUAUUACUCCCUAAUUUUAUUAAUAUUUCAAACUGUUCAUGAUUUGUUAAAAGUUUUUCAAUUAUGUUCCCGUAAGCUAAGGACAAUGCAUAAAUAAUAUAUGCCACAAAAAAAAAAAAAGUUUUUCAAUAAUGUUCAUCGUCAUGUGACAAAAACAUUAAGACAUAGACUUAAUUGAGAUAAUUGAUUUCGCUAGAAAGUUGAGGAGAGACUAUCUAAUUUUUAAAGUUGAUUUUGAAAAGGCAUAUGACUCAGUUAGCUGGACUUUUCUUGAUUAUAUGAUGAGGUGGUUGGGUUUUGGGUCCAAAUGGCGUAGCUGGAUUAAGCCUUGUGUUUUCUGUGGUAAGUUGUCAGUUUUGGUUAACGGAAGCCCAACUAAAGAGGUUAAUAUUCAUAAGGGUCUGAAACAAGGUGACAAUCUAGCCCCUUUCUUGUUUUUGCUGGUGGUUGAGGGGAUGGGUGGGGCUGUUAAGAGGGCCUGAAAGUUAACUUCGCAAAGAGCAGGCUGAUUGGAGUUAAUGUCAAUGACGAGUUUCUAAGGGUGGCUGAGUGUUUCCUUCAUUGCAGCAGGGGAAGUAUUCCUUUUGUCUACCUGAUGGGAUAAAACUGCAAGUGUACGGUUCUAUCGAAGUAGUAAAAUAAGAGUAUCGUUCAGAAAGGGAGUUGUUAAAUUCAACUAACUUUUGUUGAUGAUUAGAAGAGAAUCAAGUUGCAAAGUUGGGGUUUUCAAACGGUUGAAAGAUAAUAUAAUAAAAAGAGCCUUGGGAUCAUUGAUUCAUCUUAAUGACAAGUCCUUCUCAAACCAAACUAUUAAACUUAGAACCUUAUGUUAGACCUAACUUCUAAAGACAAUUUCUCUUUUGUUCCUCUAGCAACCAAGCCUAUUUCGCUGACUUGAUUAUUAUUAUAUUUUGGUUCCUAUAGCAACCAAGCUUAUUUCGCUGACUUGAUUACUAUUAGUUCCCUUGAAUAUCAAACUUAUAUGUCUCCAAGAUUGCAAAGACGAUUUCGCUUCCUUUGCAAUCCUUGUCUAAAUUCACUUGUUCGAAUAUCAAAGUGAUGUAGGAUUUUUACCUCUCAUAAAACUAUUUACACGUGAGUAUAUAUAGGAUCGUGUCCACAGGGAGUUGCGUUUUUCAUAAGCAUUUUCACAAUAUUUGUCACGUUAAGUGUUUGGGUAUAAAUUGUUUGUUUGUGUAAAACUAUUUUCCUAAUCGACAUAAAAGUAAAACGAGAAGAGAUAGGGCUAUUCCGCUUGCGGUCAGAGACAUCAACCAAGCGUAACAGCUGCAAUCUCUCGAUCGAUUAACGGAUUCUANNNNNNNNNNNNNNNNNNNNNNNNNNNNNNNNNNNNNNNNNNNNNNNNNNNNNNNNNNNNNNNNNNNNNNNNNNNNNNNNNNNNNNNNNNNNNNNNNNNNNNNNNNNNNNNNNNNNNNNNNNNNNNNNNNNNNNNNNNNNNNNNNNNNNNNNNNNNNNNNNNNNNNNNNNNNNNNNNNNNNNNNNNNNNNNNNNNNNNNNNNNNNNNNNNNNNNNNNNNNNNNNNNNNNNNNNNNNNNNNNNNNNNNNNNNNNNNNNNNNNNNNNNNNNNNNNNNNNNNNNNNNNNNNNNNNNNNNNNNNNNNNNNNNNNNNNNNNNNNNNNNNNNNNNNNNNNNNNNNNNNNNNNNNNNNNNNNNNNNNNNNNNNNNNNNNNNNNNNNNNNNNNNNNNNNNNNNNNNNNNNNNNNNNNNNNNNNNNNNNNNNNNNNNNNNNNNNNNNNNNNNNNNNNNNNNNNNNNNNNNNNNNNNNNNNNNNNNNNNNNNNNNNNNNNNNNNNNNNNNNNNNNNNNNNNNNNNNNNNNNNNNNNNNNNNNNNNNNNNNNNNNNNNNNNNNNNNNNNNNNNNNNNNNNNNNNNNNNNNNNNNNNNNNNNNNNNNNNNNNNNNNNNNNNNNNCCACGUAACCUUAGCUUGUUGACAUUUCUAGAUCUGGCUUGAGCCUGCUUGGGGCGAGCUCUCUCUGGACAAUUCUGGCUUAAGCGAGUUUUCUGGCUUGAGCCAGAAAACUUCUGCACUUUGGUUGAUUCUUGGGUCCUGGCUUGUAUUUUCCUGCACAAAAAGGGUAGAGUAAGGCAUAUGAAGCAUAAAUGGUGUAAAUGCAUAAAAUUGGAGCUUUUCCAUAGAUAACUUGUAGAACAAGUCACUAAAAUGCCUAAAUUAACAUAAGAAAUAUAUCACUUUUGAGCACUUAUCACAAAGCUCCACUUUCGUUUUAUGAAUUGAUAUUUGAGAUGAUGGAUUAACAAUUAUCAAACCCUCCACUUUCGUUUCCACGGUUUGAUAAUGGUUAAUUCAUGUUAAAACGGUGAAUUUAGAUUAGAGAUUAGAGUUACAUAAGAUUAGGGUCAAUAUCUUGGUUUGAUUAGGAUUAUGUCAUUUAGACUUAUCCAAUAAUCCUAAUACAAGAGAAGUCUACUCACUCAUGUUCAUCGUAGACAUGAGAAGAAGGAGAAAAGUAUAAAAGUAAAUAACAAGAAAGAAAAGAAAAAGAAAAGAACUUUUAUUAAGAAAGACAAUUGUCACUUAUUGAAUUCCAAGAAUAAAAGAUGACUAUUUGUGAUGGGUAGCUACUCUAUUUAUAGUUUACAUUCGACUUAGAAUCUAAGCAAUUACAUCACUAAAAUGUUCCACAAGAAAACUAAAAUAGAGUAGCUUAAAAUCUAAACAAAAGCAACAAAAGGUUAUUCUGGGAGGUGGCACGGCCAUGCCAAUGUUAGCACGGGCCGUGCCAAGCUUCUGACUUGGGGGAGACAUAUUUUUGCUCCGAAUCAACUCCAAAACCCUUUUCUUUUGCUCCAAGACUCAAUCCAUCAAAUAUUCAUUCCUGAAAUAUAAUAAUAUGCAAUUGAAGUAAAAUAGCUCUAAAAGGAAAUAAUAUUAAAAUAAAAUAAGCUUAAAUCUAAUUAAAACGAACCUAAAUAUUAUACUAAAACAGAUAAUAAAUGACUCAUCACUACCUAGGUAUUCCUGUAGGGGCGAAUCCAUGAAAGAUCAUACAAGGAAGUCGUUAUUUGACACAAUUUCAAGAAGGUUUGGCCCAUUAAGAAAUAGGUUUAUCAGUUUGGGGGGGGGGGGGGGGUUCUAAACUCUGUUCUUAAUGCGAUCCCCUCGGUUGCGAUGUUGUGUUGUGGUGUGGCAGCUGCUCCUGUCCGCUUUUUGAGGAGGUGUAUUUGUUUAGUUUUGCUUGUUUCUUGCUUUAGGGUUUUUGAGGGCGAUUGUAGUUUGGUGUUUUUGUUUCCUUUAUUUUAGUACCCUUGGUACACCGAGCUAGGCAUUUGUUAGCCCUCUCGUGUUAUGCUUUUUAUUACUCUUUCUCUCUACUAUGUGGGACUUGCUCCGUCUUUUAUUUAUAUAUUACUGGCGAAAAGACGGGCAUAGUGCCCAUCUUUCCCUUGGCACACCAUGCAAAUAGUUUGAAAAAAUAAUAGUUAAUGAUAUGAUAUUGUGUCAAAACUUUGGAUUAUCCCAACAGAGUUAACUAAAACAUAAUAGUUAAUGAUAUGAUAUGAUAUUUAACAUAUUUAGUAACCAUCCAAUUAUUACACCUUUGUUCUUGUUUAUCCCAACAGAGUUAACUAAAAUUCUAUUUAACAUUUAUGCUUAUAAUUGGAUAAAAAUUAUAUCUAAAAUUGAUUGUUAGAGAUUGGCUACGAAUUAGAUACUAAAAUUACACCUUUGUUCUUGUUCCUUUAGUUUCUGUUUUCAUAAUUAAAUAUUGUUUCAGACUUUGUUGUUCUUUUCUGGUACGCCUUGUGUUGGAAGGACAUUUUUGAUUUGGUAAUAUAAUUCAUUUUAGCCUUUUCAAAAAAAAUAAAAAAUGAUACUAAAAAAGUAACCAUUUUUAAUUGUUACUAAUAAGACUCUUAAGGUUACUAAAACCAUUGGAUAUAUAACAACACAAACUUUACCUAACAUUUAUCAAAUAAUGUUACAAAAUCUAAAUAGUAAAAUUUGUUUUUUAUUUAUUUAGUUACAAUUUUAAACUGUUACUAAAUCGUAGUGAUUUCAGCUACCAUUUUAUGUGUGACUUGAUUUUGAGCAUUAAACUAGAAUGUGCUUGUUAGUUUGUUCUCCACUUUAGAAAGUACUAUCUGUUUACAUUAUCAGUUUGUUGAUGAUCUUCAAGAGAAUGACUUUUGCUUGUUUAGAAUGAUUCCAAAAGGCUCGCAUAUCCUCUAUACUUACAUAUAUCAACAUCAAGAACUAUCAUUUCAUUCUUACUUAUACAUAUUCUUUAUUAAUUAUAGAUAACAUAAUAAUCAUUGACAUAGUAAAUAUAUAGUUUACUGGAAAGGAAAGUAGAUGCCAAUAUCAUGUAUCAACCCACAAUACCUAACAAUACUAUAUACAUCAUUAACAUAGGAAAAACAUUUUCUACUAGAGAGGUUGCGCAGCUUGCAAGGUUAUAGGGCUAAUUGUAUUGGAAGAACAAGAAGGGUGCUUGCUUAGCCAGCAUAAGGGUGCUUGCUUAGCCAGCAUAGCAAUUUUUUUGAACUUCAACAACCACAAAAGACGAUAACAUACAUUAUAAGUCAUUUCCGAAUACCAUUUUUGUGACCCUUAGCAUUAAUCUACACUGGAACAAAUCCAAAUAAGCAUCUACACUACAUGCAUUGUUGAUAGUUGGCUUCAAAUUUGUGGUCUGGAAGAACAGAGAAAUCGUGACAUGAAUUUGGCAUCGUGACAUGAUUUUGUGAUGCCGUGAGCUGGUUUGCAGGGUGCCAAAUCGUGACACAAUCUUGGGAAAUCGUGACACGAUUUUGAAACUUGCUCGUUAAGUAUCCGUGAUAAGGACUGGUCAUACCUUGGGACGUACGCAAAUCGUGACACGAUCUGGAAAUCGUGACACGAUUGUAUCAGAGGAAGGCUAGUAUUUAAAGUGUUCUUGUGCAGAUUUGGAGGAGAGCUUGGAAGAGCUUAGAGAGAUAAACUUGGAUUACAAAGGAGGGAACCAAAGGGUUGAGUGUCUUUGUAGAGAGUGUCUCUUGGGUUGGGAAAAACAUUGUAAUCACCUUGGGUAGUGAGGAGUUCACCAUUGGAAGGAUCUAAAGCUUCCUCUAGUGUCUUCUCUUUUAGGGUUCAUAUUGUGAGAGUGGGGAAACACCAAAGGGUAGAAUCUAGGUCUUGUUUCUUGUGUAAGCUUGCAAGCUAUUGUUUCUUGUAACCCUUUGUAACACUUUCAUCAUAUUGGAUUGGAGAGCUGCUCUCUCCCCCAGAUUAGGCCAUAUUGGCUGAACUGGGUCAACAAUCUCUUUGGUGUGUUUGUUCUUUCUUUCUUGCUUAUAUUGUUUGCUUUGUAUUCUCUUUGUGGUGUUGCUCUACACUAGACUAGGGCUGGUUUUGUUGUUGUUGCUUGGGAAACUUUUUACUCUUUGAUUACCACUAUCUUUUGCUCCACACAUCUUUGUUUUCAUUGGUGUGAGUUUUAACCGGAUUCACAACAUGCAUGAUCAUUGAAACAUGCCAAAUAACACAAACCAAACAACUUUGUGUAUGUGCAAUGCUUUUUACAAGAUUAUCAACAUGAUUUCUUAGAGUAUAAUCAUUACGAAUGUUUCGGCGAGGAAAAAUGAAACAAGGGAUGAAGAAAUAUAAAGGAGCCACUUGCUGAUUAAGACACACCACAUGCGAGCCACAGGUCCCACCAUAGUAGAUCAGAUUGCUACUGCCCAAGACGCCUAGAGUAGGAGCUGGUGUGUGUCGUACACAUAUUGUUCCAAAAAAUUCGGGUUUUACACACCUAUAAAUAUAGAAGCCUUGCCUCACUUUAAGAAAAAAAAAACGUUCUAACGACGGGAAAAAGGUGAAAUCACACGAUUUUGGAAGGCUACCAACGACCAGAGGCAUCCUAGAGGCGAGGAUUUUUUUUUUUUUUGAACAAAUCAAAAUGGAAUAUAUUGCACAAAAGAGAAGUGAUUCACCCCGCACAAGGUGUACUAAAAGCGAUGAAUCACUCAAAGUCUGAUACAGUAACUAGGUGACGGGCACACACGCAUGACACAGUCAACUAAAAAAGAUAAAUAACAUUAGACAGCACCUAUACAAAGAAGUGGGUGCCUCCACCAAUCAUGAAAACCAUACGCCAUUGUUACAGAAUUUGACGAAAGCCAUAAAAAAGUAUCCAACUUCACCUUUUCGACAAUAUUGUAAGGAUCAAUUACCACAUUUUUGAAGAUACAGUUAUUUCUCUCCUUCCAUAUUGCCCAUACACAGGCAAGCCAAAUAACCUUAAGAUAAAAAUGAGAAGCUCGUGGCAUACCCGCCAAAUGAGUAAACUGAUAGUAGUGAUCCACAACCGAACCUGGAAGAACAUAAGAAAAACCAAUCCAUUGACAUAAUAAAUACCAAACUUUCCCAAACAAUUCGCAACCUAACACAAGAUGCUCCGCCGUCUCAAUGAAACCACGUCCUCCAACACACAAAGUGUCGUUAGCUUGAAGAACAUGUCGAAGCGCCAAGUUUGACCUUGUCGGAAUUCUAUCUUUCAAUAGACGCCAAGUGAAAAGAGAAACUUUUGUAGGAACCAAUUUGUGCCACACGUUUGUGUUUGUAACAACAGCCACCUGAUCCUCUAAAGAUGUUAGAAAGCGAUAAGUCCCACUAACCGAGUAGCCAUGAAUAGGAUCAAGCAACCAACGCUAGUGGUUCUGUAAAUUUUCCUGCAGAAUAACGUUAGUCAAUAAAUUCACACACUCCCUCACACUAUCCUCCUCCCAAGCCAACAACCGAUGUCGCCAUCUCCACCCACCUCCGCCUUCCUCCCACCCCAAUCCCGCCAUAUCCUCCACGGAACAUUCCUUAUGUAUUGACAAAUCAAAUAGGCGGUUGAAACGAAUGCGUAAAGGAAUUCCAUCCAGCCAAUUGUCAGUCCAAAAGAAAGUAUUACGACCACUACCUACCACCUACCUACAAUUAUCAUCAAACCCCGUUCCCACCCCUUCUCUAACGUGACACAUCAUCCUCCACCACCCUGAAGUACUUCUUCCCCCUCCCUGAAUUCGAGUAGCUAAUAUCCUUGGGUUAGGUCAUUUGGAUUACCCUCUCUGCAACUAUUUGAACGUAAUCAAUCGGUACUUUUGAAUAGAGUUACUCUAUUUGAUUUUAUUCGAUUAUGACUUGCUUAUUAAUGUGUUUUAUACGUUUAUAAAUGUUAGUUAAAUGAUCCAAUCACAUUGCCCAUUAACCCUAGCACUGAGAUUUGCACUAGUUAUUAAAUGUUCAAUUUGUAGUAGUUAUUUCUUUUGGUUUCAUUCAAUUUCAUGGCAUGGACCAACUCUCUGAAUACUAUACUAAUGCUGGCCGCAAGAUAGAUUUGUUAUUUCUAACGAUUAGCUUGAUUGAGUUAGGGUUUUAAAUCAAUUUUGGUUCUUUUGUUUUACAAAUCAAAACACGUGAUCUAUUGUUUCUUUCACUUGAACGCUUGAUUGAGUGUCAUUGUUUCCAUGUUUAAUUUUGUUAUUUUUGGUAACAGCACAGUACAUAUAAAAAAAGAGUAAAAUAAUAAAGGAAGCACCCCACCGUAUAAGGGGGUUAAUUAUUUAUUAUUAUUUUUUAAAUUAGGUAUCCUCUGCGUACAAUUGUGAAGACGAAUUCCUCAAAUCUUGGAUGUGUAUAAACUCAUUUAUUUGGUCCGUGUUUAAGUUUUUUUCUUCCGAUAUUAGAAACUAUAUAUUGAAUAGUCCGUAAAACAAAGAAAGCCACUAUUAACAAAAACCAACUCCUCAAAGAAUAAACAUCCGAAUGAUGCAUAGUGUAAUUAGAUUAAGAAUUUGUCAUUCAAAACAAUAGAGAAUUGAAAUGGUUAAUAAUGUGUCAUUAAAACCAAUAGAAAAUUGAAAUUAAAGAAAACUAGAAUAUUGUACCAAAAAAAAAAAAAAAAACUAAACUAACUUAAAUUUAGCAGUCCAAAAACAAAUGUGUAGAAAAUAAAGACAAUUACAAGAACUGAACAACUAUAUUCUAUCAUUAUCUGUGUUUCUCUUUCUCCUGGUGCAUUUUUAGUAGAGAUCUCUUCCCAAUUAAAGACGAGAAACCAUGAAAGUGUGAUGCACCAUAGGAUAGAAGUGAUAGCCGCAGCGGUACGCGAAACUACAAAGACUUCUAUAAUUGAUGUCACACUUGAUAGCAACAGAACGCAUAAGAUUGCAAAUAUAUUGUUGUUGUGGUCAUUGUUGUUGGAACGAUGUUGUAGUGUAACAAGUAGUAUCAUUUGAAAAACUAAAACAAAAACACAGAGUGAGAGCAACACUAUAGUGUCAUGUUGUGCAAUGAAUUUACCAGCGAAUGAUGACAUCUUUAGGGCUACGCAGAUAAUUAAAAGCAUGGAUAAUUGCCCUGCAUGCGGACACAAGUACUUGCAGAAAGCUCUCAUCUACGUUGUUCAUCAUGAACCUAUAAAUUAAUGAGAUAAUUAGAUACAUACAUUGAUUUUUGAGUUUUUGUUUUGUUGUGUAACCUAAAGAAAUUAAAAGACGCAGAAUAGUAAAUAUAUGAAGGUAAAUCAAAGGGAUUGAGUACCUUGGGUUAACUGGAUUAGAGGAUAUAUAUAUAUAUAUAUAUAUAUAUAUAUAUAUAUAUAUUGUCAGGUAGUCUAGUGGAUAGAAUUCACCUUAUAAGGUGAAUAAGUGGGGUUCGAACCCUGAUCCCUCCCUGCAUAUAAUAAUGUAUUAUCCUACCAAUGAGUUAGGCUCACGAGACACGGGAUAGAGGAUUUAUAUUCUUCCAUCUUAAUCACUUGAUAUGCUAUCACAAACAAUAACAAUGCAUGUAGAUAUGUUCAUGAGAUUUUUUUAUUUAUUUUUUGACAAAAAUAUAUAGGCAUGAGAUAUACAUAUAUGCAUCUAUAUAUAACCAGCGACACUCUUUAGAUAGUAAAUUUUUAUAGAAAUUUAUAUAUUCAAUGUAUUGAAAAUUGAAGUAUUAAACUUUUUUAAUGAAUAAUUUCUUAACUAUGAAUCCUUAAAGAGUACCCUAAAAGUACUAAAAGAGUAGAAUUAAAAUAAAAUAAAAAAGAUUAAAGAGAUCUAGUAUCUUGGAUUAAAUGGAGUAGAGGACUUCAAUUUUCCUUCCAUCGUAAUCAAUAAUCACUUGAUCUUCCCUUGUUUGGCAGCACUUGAGUCAAUUAGGUUAAUGACUAAUUAUUAUAGUAGGACUAUUUAAAAAGAUGUUCCCGCAAAGCCAUAACAAACUUAAGAAGACAAGUAUCGCAAAUUUGGUAUUCAUUAUUUAAUAAAAGUAAUUUUGACAUAAAAUAAUUUAGAGGAUUAUGAGCUCGUUUAUUAUUGUUUUUUUAAGAUAAAAAUCACUUUUAAAAAAAAAAAAAAAAUCACUUUUAAGAGUUUUAAAUCCGUUUGUUAUAAAUUUUUUAAAAAAUUAGAAUCUAACAAAAAUUUUAAAAAAGCUUCAAAUGAGAAGCUGUUAAAAGCAGCGUCUAAAAAAAAAAUAAUUUAGAGGAUAGAGAAAAAAUGGUUUAAAAGAUUGAACUAAUUUUAUAACAAAAAAAAAUCUCUUUUAUGUAGUUAUGUCAAACAAACUAAAUUAUUUGUUUUAAAAAAGUGAUUUUUAUUACGGUUAAACAAACGCUACUUCUUAAGACGCCAAGAGUAGGAGUUGGUGCGUGUCGUGACAUCUUGUUGAUCCUAUUUUGAGACGUCUGAGUUGUAACAAUUUGAUAAUCUUAAACUUCUGCAAUCAACAAUUCAAAUGAAUAAUCAAACUUGUUCAUCAAUCAACUUUCGGAUAAACUUGAUAAUAUGCAUUCAAUAAUAAAGGAGAAUUACAGUAUUUUAAAGUUAAACUAAAUCUUGCACAACUAAUUGUCUCCGUGAACUUAGCUCAGCUAGUAAAGACAAUGCAUAAUAUAUGCAAUCCGGGGUUCAAACCCUGGAUACCAUAAAAUAAAAUAAAAAACAGAUUAGAGGAAACUUUUUUUUAAUGAAUGCUGUAGAACGCAAAUAUUUUUCCUGCACAUAAUCAAUCCCCGAACUCGAAAUCAGGUUUCAAGAACCAUAUUUUUUUUAAAGGGUUUUUUCCCAAUGUUUUUCCUAUUUUAAUAAGUUUUGGUGACGACUUUAUUGUUUUACGAGCAACCCUCGAUUUGUUUUCAAGAAUUUCAAACCUGAAAUUUAAUGCGAGCGACCAUUUUUUUUUUCAUUUUAAAGGAUUUUUUCAAUGUUUUCACUAUUUUCAUAAUUUUUUGUGGUAACUUCAUUAUUUCCGAGCAACCGGUGCAUGCUUUGCAACCCUCAAAUUUUAAGUCACAACGUAGUAAAGUAAAAUAUUAAAACAUAUUACUUAUAUAAUCUAAUAUAAUGAAAUGAAAUAUAGUUUUGCAUGAAGAGUUUGAGGAAGGAAAGCUUGUGAAUCAUGCCAUUUUGGCCGACAUGGUAAGCAUUGAUGCAGUCUACAAUUAUCUUCUAACCUUUUUGAAAAUGUGAAUGUCCUUUCUUAGAAGGAAAUUAGUGGAUGAAUGGUUGGAUUCUUUACAAUAUUGUAUACUUGUUGUAGAUGGAAUAACUUCCGAGGUGACUGGUUAGAUGUUUUACAAGAUUAUGUGCAAAAUAUUGAUAUUACACUCUAUAAGUCCAAGCUUAAAAGCUUAACAAUAAAAUUUGGUACCAAACAAAAUCGUCUCUUGUACCAAGAAAGCUAUGAUACAACUUAUCAACCUUGCUUAAAAUGAAACACUACUUGACAAUACAAAAAAGGAGAUCCUCAAUUCGAGUAAGCGCGAGGGCAAUUCAAAGCAAAUUAUCAACUUUUCAAAAGAGGAUGUAUGAGUGGUAGUAUAGGGCGGAUGAGUAGUAGUAGCUCAUGAGUCAUUUUGUUCAAAGACUGUAUGGAUAAUAGUUGAGGAGUUCUUUAGUAUCUAAUAGUGUAUGGUUUGUUUGGUUAAUCAAACAAAUCAUACAAUAUUCGGUACCUCCUGAACUUCGAAAUUCAUAUUCAUGUAGUCGUGGAGUGAGAAAGCUCAUAAACUAUCAUAUAGGUUCCCUCUUCAACUAAUCUUAUGCCCUAUUUUACGAAAUUGAUAAUUUCCUUUAAAAUGAACUGUAGCGUGAUCCAUUGGAGCGAUCUCUUUUUUUUAUUGUCAAAUAACAUUUUAUUUUCAGCAAAAUGGACAAAUUUUACCACAACUUUAUUGUUACAUGAAAGAUGUUUGUUUGGUACCCUCAUUCUAUCGUUAAACCUUUUGGGCUUGGAGUUUUAGAGUAUUGUUAACAUUAUUUGGCACAAAGUCUUGUAAAUCAUUGACCAACUCAUCAAGGUAGCCAUGAUAUUUAUAGAAUCCAAGGUGUUAUGAUACGAGCAAAGCAAGAAUACCACAUAAGCAAAGUUACGUUGCCCUACUCUUUUAUUUUUUGAAAUUUUCAUAUUCUCGUACUUAUAUCAUACCAAAUACCGUACCCUAUAUCCAUACCUAUUCAACAUGAAUUGAAAGUUUUACCGGCAGUACAAUCAGGAAGAUACGUGUUUUGUUGGUUGUAAGAAUGUGGGAGACAAGGUGAAGAUUGUUGGGUUAAAUUGUCGACGAAUAGUUUUGCAUCUACUAUCAAUGACCUAAAUGAUAUUGUUUUUGGGCAUGAAUGUAUAUUUUCUACUAGUACUAUGUAACAACUAAGGUUUUAAAAUUUCAGUUUUAGUGAAAAAAUUUCAAAAUUGAAUUAAGACAUUAUAUUAAAAUAAGUGACAUGUUUUUACAUAAAGCAAAAGAAAAAAUAAACUUAAAUACAACUGAGAACCCUAAACUCUAGACUCUUGUAAUCAACUCUCAAGACAAAAACAAUUCUACUCGAAAAUAAGCAAACAUAUCAGAAUCAAUUCUACACCCCGCACUCAAUUUUAGUCCAUGUAAAAAUGGAACCAAAUAUACACAAUACUACUACGGGUCUGUUUGGUAACAUCCAAAAAAGAGCUUAUAACUUAUAAGUUCUUUUGACAAAAAAAGCUCUGUUUGGCAACACUUUUUCACCAUGAGCUUAUAGCUUAUUUCACGAGCUUAUAAGCUAUUUUUCAGAAGCUAUUCCAAGUAGCGUUUGAGCUUAUAACUUAUAGCUUCUCACUUUUAAUUCCAGUUUUACCCUUAUUAUUCUAACUAAAUUUCAUUUUUUACCUUUAAUCAUUUAUUAUAUUAUAAAGUAAAAUACAUAUGUUUUAAAUAUGAAUGCUAUUUUUUUUUAUGAAUGAAAGAUCCUUUUUUUUUCUCAAUAGAAAAAGAUAUUUUUUUUACCGUUACGUAAGUUUUUUUCAUUACAAUUGUUACGUUUUUUUUUGUGGGACUAUUUCAAUAUUUAAUGUCACCUUUUUUUUGCGAAAUGACACGUUAUUUUUGUGUGAUACAUCAAAAUUGUAGAGAAUAAGAACAAGGACAAUAAUUUUCUCCAUAGAAAAAAAAAUGAGAAUGUUACGUUUACCUUCACUAUAUAUAUAUAUUUGUACAAACUAUAUUUUAUUUAUUGUUACGUUUAAACUUUUUUACAUCUUAUAUAAUUUUUUUAGGCAAAUGAAUAUAAAUAUAAAUUAACAUUUAGGAAUUAAAAAUUAAUUUAAUAAUAAUAUUAAAUUAACAAUUUUUAAUUUUUAAAUUCUUUAAAAUUAAUUGGUAUAAACUUUGAAUUAAAAAUGUCAUUUCAUGUAAUUUUACAUCUAUCAGUUAAUUGAACUGCUAAUUUUAUCAAACACUUCAAGUAGUUCAUCAGCUAUAAGCUAUCAGCUAGCUUAUCAAUCAUCCACUAUUUUUACCAAAGAGAGCCUACAUAAGCACAAUGACUCCUACAGUCCAUCUCUGCAUCACUUAGGGCCACUCCUUUCACCCAGAAGAUCAAGCCUCUUCACCUCAUCAUUUGCCACUUUAAUACGCUGUUCCAUAUUCUGACAAUGUGAUCUAUGUCAUUCCUUCAUGUCAUGUUUAAUGAGCUUUAGGUUUUCUUUUCACAUAAAAUUCAUAUGCAAAGAUUUGUCAAACCCCUUUAUAAAAGCAUCUUGUCACAUAUUUGUCCAUAAUGGAAAAUAUCAAAAUAUAUUUUUGUAUUUUGUAUGACUUAUGCAAUCAUAAAUCUCUUCUAGCAACAACAACAUUAUCUUCUUUCCACUCUUAUUUUUCAACAUUAUUAGAUGCUAGUCACAAACCAAACAUAAACUUCCAAAAACAGUUAUAAUUUAUGCAUAGUACUAUUACUAAUAUAUUCACAUGCAUAACUGUAUAAUAUAUUUCACAUGUCAUGCUAAGAAGUUCCUACGUGUCUUGCAUAUAAGAAUUGUCAGAUAUCAUACUCUAGAGUAUGUGGUUCCUCUAUCUAUCCCGUGAUCAAACAGUGAUUCAAAUUCAAUUAUUCUUAUGCAUCCACAUCAACUAGGAACAAACUUCCAAAAUAUACUUGGUAAACUUUUUGGAUUUUUCCUGAAAAAUAAAACUACUUUUAAAUACUUAUCUAUCUAGUAGGUAUGCUUGUGUUUUUCUAUUAUUACAUUUUCAAUUUUUGAGAUACAUUAUAAAAUAUGGAUACUCAUUGGAUUAGGACUAUACCGGUACAUGUCGUUGUCUGUGUUUGUGUCCGUGCUUUAUAGGUGAUACAUAGUUGAAUAGUAAAAUCUUUUUUUUUUUACAAAAGUUGAAUAGUAUAAUCAUAUAAGAUUAUGAAAUUGUAAUAUAUUGUUGAAUAGUAAAAUAAUAUAACAUUUUGUAAUACAUUGUUUAAGAAAACAAACCUGAAACCACAUUUUUUAAUUAGUUAAAGAUUAUAGGUAUUAGCAUGAUUGCACAAAAUAGUCUUUCUUAUUUAGGUAUUUACACAAACCCUAAUUUAAUUUGAUUGUCUUUAUCAUAGACAGCUAAAGGAAACUAGUCUACAAAAUCUUAUUAUUUAGAUUGUUUUCAUAGACAGCUAGAAGAAACAAAGAGCAGUAAAAAGAUAGAGGACUAGAUUCUAUUUUUGUUUUCAACAAGUUUCUUGCACGAUAGUUAACCCUAUUUGAGGCAUUGUGUUACACUAAAUGUGAAAUUUCGUUUGUGUGCACUCAAAACAUAUCAUGUAAUUACACACUCGGUACAUUCCUGGUUCUUCGAUUAAAAUCGGACAAGUCAAAUUUCAACCUCAAUAUUAUAGAUUUUAAAAUGUAUUCAAAACCUGCAACGUCCGAUCUUAAUUCAACAACUAUCGAUGUGUCAACUGUGUUAAUGCACGAGAUUUUGACUGCAUGCAAUCCAAAUCCCUAAAUGUGGAUAACUCUCUCCCUCGGAAUUCAAAUUUUAGUUCGCCACAUUAUGGGUUACUACCUAUUCGCUAGACCCAAUAUCGGUUAGUGGAAUAGUUCAUAUUCAAACAAUGGGUAUUACUAAGUAAAGUAGAACAAGUAACCAUUUUACGGUCGUUUCUGAAGAGAUUUGAACUCAAGUUAGUUGAAGUUAAAAGAUCAAACUCUUAUUACUGAUGUGACAUAUGAUUGAGAAAUAGUGUCUUAAAUAUAUUUAUAUAGACCUUCAUUAUUUAUUUAAAAGCACAAUACAAAUUUGCAUUCCCUUCACAAGAAGACAUUAUUUCUGAAAACUCAAACCUCAUCACAAUGUCUUGGUUCCUUACAAUUCUGUUUCUCAGUCUCACAUUUGGUACUAAUUUUUCAGAAGCAAACCAUGACAACAAGAAGCUUCUUCCUUCACCUGUUGUAGUUGGCACUGUCUACUGUGACACAUGUUUUCAACAAGCUUUCUCUCUAAACAGCCACUUCAUUUCAGGUAAUCCAUUUCAACCUCAAAAGGGUACUUCAAUUUUAUAUCUCUUAAAAUGUUGUAAAAUUUUUCUAAACCUUAUCAUAUUUUAUUUUGUCCUUGUUUUUAUGUAUAGGUGCAUCAAUAGCUGUUGAAUGCAAAAUAGGAAAAACAAAACCAAGAUUCUAUAAAGAAGUGAAAACAAAUGAACAUGGAGAAUUCAAAGUGAAACUACCUUUCUUAGUGAAGAAACAUGUGAAGAGAAUCAAAGGGUGUAAUUUUAAGUUGUUAAGUAGUAAUGAACCAAAUUGUGCUAUAGCCUCAACUUCUACUUCAUCUUCACUAAGCCUAAAGAAAAAGUUGCAACAAGAACACAUUUUUUCAGCUGGGAUUUUCUCAUUCAAGCCUAUAAAAAAACCAAAAUUUUGUGACAAAAAACAUAGUAUUCAUAACCUUAAGAAACAACAUAGUUAUGUGAAAAAUUUGGAACAAUCAAAAUUUUCAAGCAAAAAUAAAGUACCUAAUGAAGUUGAAGAUUUCUUCUUUUUUCCUCCAAACCCUUUUUUUCCACCACCUAUUAUCCCUAAUCCACUUCAACCUCCACCUUUGAUUCCUAACCCUUUGCAACCACCACCUUUGAUUCCAAAUCCAUUUCAACCACCAAGUCCACCCUUGAUUCCUAAUCCAUUUCAACCACCAAGUCCACCACUUAUUCCAAAUCCAUUUCAACCUCCUCCAUCAAAUCCACCACUUAUUCCUAAUCCAUUUCAACCUCCCCCAGCAAGUCCUCCACCACUCAUUCCAAAUCCAUUUCAGCCUCCACCAUCAAGUCCACCACCAUCAUUUCCUUUUCCACCAAUAGUAAUACCAGGUUUAACUCCAUCACCACCGCCGC